GGUUAAGCGACUAAGCGUACACGGUGGAUGCCCUGGCAGUCAGAGGCGAUGAAGGACGUGCUAAUCUGCGAUAAGCGUCGGUAAGGUGAUAUGAACCGUUAUAACCGGCGAUUUCCGAAUGGGGAAACCCAGUGUGUUUCGACACACUAUCAUUAACUGAAUCCAUAGGUUAAUGAGGCGAACCGGGGGAACUGAAACAUCUAAGUACCCCGAGGAAAAGAAAUCAACCGAGAUUCCCCCAGUAGCGGCGAGCGAACGGGGAGGAGCCCAGAGCCUGAAUCAGUGUGUGUGUUAGUGGAAGCGUCUGGAAAGGCGCGCGAUACAGGGUGACAGCCCCGUACACAAAAAUGCACAUGCUGUGAGCUCGAUGAGUAGGGCGGGACACGUGGUAUCCUGUCUGAAUAUGGGGGGACCAUCCUCCAAGGCUAAAUACUCCUGACUGACCGAUAGUGAACCAGUACCGUGAGGGAAAGGCGAAAAGAACCCCGGCGAGGGGAGUGAAAAAGAACCUGAAACCGUGUACGUACAAGCAGUGGGAGCACAGAGCAAUCUGUGUGACUGCGUACCUUUUGUAUAAUGGGUCAGCGACUUAUAUUCUGUAGCAAGGUUAACCGAAUAGGGGAGCCGAAGGGAAACCGAGUCUUAACUGGGCGUUAAGUUGCAGGGUAUAGACCCGAAACCCGGUGAUCUAGCCAUGGGCAGGUUGAAGGUUGGGUAACACUAACUGGAGGACCGAACCGACUAAUGUUGAAAAAUUAGCGGAUGACUUGUGGCUGGGGGUGAAAGGCCAAUCAAACCGGGAGAUAGCUGGUUCUCCCCGAAAGCUAUUUAGGUAGCGCCUCGUGAAUUCAUCUCCGGGGGUAGAGCACUGUUUCGGCAAGGGGGUCAUCCCGACUUACCAACCCGAUGCAAACUGCGAAUACCGGAGAAUGUUAUCACGGGAGACACACGGCGGGUGCUAACGUCCGUCGUGAAGAGGGAAACAACCCAGACCGCCAGCUAAGGUCCCAAAGUCAUGGUUAAGUGGGAAACGAUGUGGGAAGGCCCAGACAGCCAGGAUGUUGGCUUAGAAGCAGCCAUCAUUUAAAGAAAGCGUAAUAGCUCACUGGUCGAGUCGGCCUGCGCGGAAGAUGUAACGGGGCUAAACCAUGCACCGAAGCUGCGGCAGCGACACUGUGUGUUGUUGGGUAGGGGAGCGUUCUGUAAGCCUGUGAAGGUGUGCUGUGAGGCAUGCUGGAGGUAUCAGAAGUGCGAAUGCUGACAUAAGUAACGAUAAAGCGGGUGAAAAGCCCGCUCGCCGGAAGACCAAAGGGUUCCUGUCCAACGUUAAUCGGGGCAGGUGAGUCGACCCCUAAGGCGAGGCCGAAAGGCGUAGUCGAUGGGAAACAGGUUAAUAUUCCUGUACUUGGUGUUACUGCGAAGGGGGGACGGAGAAGGCUAUGUUGGCCGGGCGACGGUUGUCCCGGUUUAAGCGUGUAGGCUGGUUUUCCAGGCAAAUCCGGAAAAUCAAGGCUGAGGCGUGAUGACGAGGCACUACGGUGCUGAAGCAACAAAUGCCCUGCUUCCAGGAAAAGCCUCUAAGCAUCAGGUAACAUCAAAUCGUACCCCAAACCGACACAGGUGGUCAGGUAGAGAAUACCAAGGCGCUUGAGAGAACUCGGGUGAAGGAACUAGGCAAAAUGGUGCCGUAACUUCGGGAGAAGGCACGCUGAUAUGUAGGUGAAGUCCCUCGCGGAUGGAGCUGAAAUCAGUCGAAGAUACCAGCUGGCUGCAACUGUUUAUUAAAAACACAGCACUGUGCAAACACGAAAGUGGACGUAUACGGUGUGACGCCUGCCCGGUGCCGGAAGGUUAAUUGAUGGGGUCAGCGCAAGCGAAGCUCUUGAUCGAAGCCCCGGUAAACGGCGGCCGUAACUAUAACGGUCCUAAGGUAGCGAAAUUCCUUGUCGGGUAAGUUCCGACCUGCACGAAUGGCGUAAUGAUGGCCAGGCUGUCUCCACCCGAGACUCAGUGAAAUUGAACUCGCUGUGAAGAUGCAGUGUACCCGCGGCAAGACGGAAAGACCCCGUGAACCUUUACUAUAGCUUGACACUGAACAUUGAGCCUUGAUGUGUAGGAUAGGUGGGAGGCUUUGAAGUGUGGACGCCAGUCUGCAUGGAGCCGACCUUGAAAUACCACCCUUUAAUGUUUGAUGUUCUAACGUGGACCCGUGAUCCGGGUUGCGGACAGUGUCUGGUGGGUAGUUUGACUGGGGCGGUCUCCUCCUAAAGAGUAACGGAGGAGCACGAAGGUUGGCUAAUCCUGGUCGGACAUCAGGAGGUUAGUGCAAUGGCAUAAGCCAGCUUGACUGCGAGCGUGACGGCGCGAGCAGGUGCGAAAGCAGGUCAUAGUGAUCCGGUGGUUCUGAAUGGAAGGGCCAUCGCUCAACGGAUAAAAGGUACUCCGGGGAUAACAGGCUGAUACCGCCCAAGAGUUCAUAUCGACGGCGGUGUUUGGCACCUCGAUGUCGGCUCAUCACAUCCUGGGGCUGAAGUAGGUCCCAAGGGUAUGGCUGUUCGCCAUUUAAAGUGGUACGCGAGCUGGGUUUAGAACGUCGUGAGACAGUUCGGUCCCUAUCUGCCGUGGGCGCUGGAGAACUGAGGGGGGCUGCUCCUAGUACGAGAGGACCGGAGUGGACGCAUCACUGGUGUUCGGGUUGUCAUGCCAAUGGCACUGCCCGGUAGCUAAAUGCGGAAGAGAUAAGUGCUGAAAGCAUCUAAGCACGAAACUUGCCCCGAGAUGAGUUCUCCCUGACCCUUUAAGGGUCCUGAAGGAACGUUGAAGACGACGACGUUGAUAGGCCGGGUGUGUAAGCGCAGCGAUGCGUUGAGCUAACCGGUACUAAUGAACCGUGAGGCUUAACCUU
Molecule: ribosomal RNA, 2905 nt
Filed under: Escherichia coli O157:H7 str. EC4196
Lineage: Bacteria; Pseudomonadati; Pseudomonadota; Gammaproteobacteria; Enterobacterales; Enterobacteriaceae
Description: bacterial LSU rRNA
Rfam family: Bacterial large subunit ribosomal RNA
Source: RNAcentral